GACAGAGGGUGCAAACGUUGCUCGGAAUUACUGGGCGUAAAGCGCGUGUAGGCGGUCACGCAAGUCAGGUGUGAAAGCCCAGGGCUCAACCCUGGAAGUGCACAUGAUACUACGUGGCUGGAGUACUGAAGAGGAGAGCGGAAUUCCAGGUGUAGCGGUGAAAUGCGUAGAUAUCUGGAGGAACACCGGUGGCGAAGGCGGCGUUCUGGACUGCUACUGACACUGAGGAACGAAAGCCAGGGGAGCAAACGGG
Molecule: ribosomal RNA, 253 nt
Filed under: uncultured bacterium
Lineage: Bacteria
Description: partial 16S ribosomal RNA
Rfam family: Bacterial small subunit ribosomal RNA
Source: RNAcentral